CACGGCAGGGUCAGGACGAGGCGAGGAGUGAAUUCCGGGGCAGACAGCUGGGCCAAGAUGGAGCGUGAGGGUGGUCACCACGAAGAACUUCCCGGCGGGUUACGUACGGAGACGGCGCCGUUCUCGCCCCGGCGGGGCCGGAGGCUCAGACUUCUGCUAAACAGAUCUCGGUCUCCUCGGGACAGAGCCGGGAGCACCGACCCAGGUUACCGGCAGUGGGCCCGGAUUCGCUGUAAAGGCACGUGGCAAACUCUAGGCUGACCACCAAAAAUUUUUUCCAAGAGAUGUUGUUGAUACGCUUGAAAGGGAUACAGGUGUGUUUGGGGUGCCGGGGGCCCCAGGGUGGCGCCACCCUGGGGGGCCCGGCACACGAGGGACAGGGCCGUGGACGCUGGAGCAGAGACACGGGAGCAGGGAGGGAAGGACGGGGAGACGGGGCUGCAGCCGGUCCAGGGAACAAACACCUUCUGUCUCUGUCCUGCCAGCACUGCCACCAGGGCAGGGGCCCCCGACUCAGCUCGUCAGCUCUGGGGCCGAGCAGGACGGUGAGGCUGGAGACUGGGACGUCCAGACAGAAGUUCCAGGACAAGUACAGGCGAGUGGCCUGCGCCUGUCCUGAGCCCUCGGGGAGGCUGGACCUGUCCUUGGAGGCUGUUCUCUGGGUCUGGGUCUAGCCCCUGGGGUGUUCAGUUACUGCCCUUGUAACCGCCUUGGACAGAUUGUCUGCCCGCCCCCCCCCCCCAGCAGCGUUGUGCUCUGUCUCCCACCCCUAGCCCCGGGGGGAACGAUGGUGUGCUCUGUCCCGUCCCCCACCCCCACCCCGCCCCCACCCUGGGAACGGCAGUGUGCAAACAGCCAGCCCU
This is a long non-coding RNA of Felis catus (domestic cat), 863 nucleotides long. RefSeq lists it as uncharacterized. The record is from RefSeq and is a predicted model, not a curated record. The transcript has 3 exons. Lineage: Eukaryota; Metazoa; Chordata; Mammalia; Carnivora; Felidae.